AUUCUAGUUAUUUUGGGUUGAUUCCCCUUGAGAGCAUAAAUUUGCCUAGGAUA
RNAcentral lists this transfer RNA (53 nucleotides) under Proasellus cavaticus. Lineage: Eukaryota; Metazoa; Arthropoda; Malacostraca; Isopoda; Asellidae. The record is from RNAcentral.